GAUGAACGCUGGCGGCGUGCCUAAUACAUGCAAGUCGAGCGAACAGACGAGGAGCUUGCUCCUCUGACAUUAGCGGCGGACGGGUGAGUAACACGUGGAUAACCUACCUAUAAGACUGGGAUAACUUCGGGAAACCGGAGCUAAUACCGGAUAAUAUAUUGAACCGCAUGGUUCAAUAGUGAAAGACGGUUUUGCUGUCACUUAUAGAUGGAUCCGCGCCGCAUUAGCUAGUUGGUAAGGUAACGGCUUACCAAGGCAACGAUGCGUAGCCGACCUGAGAGGGUGAUCGGCCACACUGGAACUGAGACACGGUCCAGACUCCUACGGGAGGCAGCAGUAGGGAAUCUUCCGCAAUGGGCGAAAGCUUGACGGAGCAACGCCGCGUGAGUGAUGAAGGUCUUCGGAUCGUAAAACUCUGUUAUUAGGGAAGAACAAAUGUGUAAGUAACUAUGCACGUCUUGACGGUACCUAAUCAGAAAGCCGCGGCUAACUACGUG
RNAcentral lists this ribosomal RNA (497 nucleotides) under uncultured bacterium. Its description in RNAcentral is "partial 16S ribosomal RNA". It matches the Rfam family "Bacterial small subunit ribosomal RNA", at positions 28 to 507 of the family's 1533-position model. The record is from RNAcentral.